This 484-nucleotide ribosomal RNA is filed under the name uncultured bacterium. Its description in RNAcentral is "partial 16S ribosomal RNA". It matches the Rfam family "Bacterial small subunit ribosomal RNA", at positions 30 to 507 of the family's 1533-position model. The record is from RNAcentral.
AUUGAACGCUGGCGGCAGGCCUAACACAUGCAAGUCGAGCGGAUGAAGGGAGCUUGCUCCUGGAUUCAGCGGAGGACGGGUGAGUAAUGCCUAGGAAUCUGCCUGGUAGUGGGGGAUAACGUCCGGAAACGGGCGCUAAUACCGCAUACGUCCUGAGGGAGAAAGUGGGGGAUCUUCGGACCUCACGCUAUCAGAUGAGCCUAGGUCGGAUUAGCUAGUUGGUGGGGUAAAGGCCUACCAAGGCGACGAUCCGUAACUGGUCUGAGAGGAUGAUCAGUCACACUGGAACUGAGACACGGUCCAGACUCCGACGGGAGGCAGCAGUGGGGAAUAUUGGACGAUGGGCGAAAGCCUGAUCCAGCCAUGCCGCGUGUGUGAAGAAGGUCUUCGGAUUGUAAAGCACUUUAAGUGGGGAGGAAGGGCAGUAAGUUAAUACCUUGCUGUUUUGACGGUACCAACAGAAGAAGCACCGGCUAACUUCGUG